Long non-coding RNA from Eubalaena glacialis (North Atlantic right whale), 1577 nucleotides. RefSeq lists it as uncharacterized. The transcript has 4 exons. The record is from RefSeq and is a predicted model, not a curated record. Lineage: Eukaryota; Metazoa; Chordata; Mammalia; Artiodactyla; Balaenidae.
UCUCGGCUUGCGGGAAACUUGUCGGGCAGACAGGGGCACCCAGCCUUGUCCCCCAGAGGCCUGGUACCCAGCAGCCAGAGGCGCAUCUCAGAGAGCCCUAGUCUGGGUUGGGCUGGACCCCUGAGAGGGCUGGAGCCGAAGAGGAUGUGAGGGGUGGUCCAUGCUGGCCCAGGGAACACCUUCAGGAAGGAAUCAGCGCAGCCUUCAAAGGAACAUUUUGAAGGAAACUGAAAUAUUUGCACUAUCGACUUCUUGGAAUUCUUUACAGAUUAAGUCUCUGAAAGCCUUUUCCAACAUUAUCAGAAAAUUAAGAGUCACUUUUGCAUUCGCUGUUCAAUGCAGUUUCUCUCUGACUUGGAGGAACUUUUUAUCAGACCCAGAUUGAUAGGCAUUGGACAGAAACACUCCAAGCUGUAGACCACAGACAGAGCCCAGCUGAGCAGCGACAGGACCAAAAUCCAAAGCAUCGCAUCUGAUUUUCAAGCAGAGUUGAAGUUGGUUGCUUCACCUGGCAGGCGAGAGGAAAGAAGCCAACAUUCCUGAUAUUUGGAAAGUCUAUGACAUUCUAGAUCCAGGGGAAGAGACUGAUGAGGAAGAUGGUGGAAACUGCUGGAGAGACAGCCCUGAGUAAAAGGAGAGGACGAGAUGGAAUACGCAAGGAGAAGGACUGUCUCAGAGAGGAGCGGCGGGUCACCCAUGGAGGCGAGCAGGAAGACAGGCACGUGGGGCCAGGGCUCACCUCAACGUCCAGGUGCUCUCAGAACAUCUCCACUCCAACGUCAACAGUCACAGAUCAAAAUAACAUCAACAGUCAAACUCACCUCUAUUGUUUUUCUAGUCCCUGCCCCCCAGUGCACGCAACACAUCUGGUCGUUUAUGAAGGUGCCUUGUUAUUAUCUACAGCAGAGCCAUCAUUGGCCAGCAGUCUUCAGACUGGGAGGGCGUGUUUCCCUGGGUAUAUGAGAUUUUUAGGUAGGAGGUAGGGAGGAAUGAUUAUAAUGGAAUCAUUUUCAGAUCCUUACUUUGCAGAGAUUCUCCUUCCUUUAGCUUGCAACACCAUCCCCUCCACAAUCCCCUCUUCACAUUUGUCAUCUCCCACUUUACCAAAGAUACUCAUACAUACCCAUUCUAACUGGACUGGGGUCAAGGUAAGACCAAAAAUCCUCUGAGCACUGAACAAAGGGACAACAGAACAAUCAUAGUCUUUUGACAACAAGCCCAAAAAGCUUAGGAAAGACAUACCGAGUACAUCAGCACCUUAUGCCAUGUAGGUGGGUGACAACCUCAGGGCAGUUCCAAUGCCUCUGCGUCUACCUACCAACUCCCCCCAGCAUGGAACUCAGAAUGGACAUGGUUGCCAUGGGGACAAUCUUAGCUAAGUAAAAAAAUCAAGUCAGCCUUUUUCUGGCAAAAAUUAAGUCUACUUUAGCAAAUCAGGUUGACCUUGAGAACUGGCUUAUUCUGUUAGAUCGUGUGAUAAUCACUUUACAUGAAUGUGAUGAGAAAAAUCUUCCACUCUAAGGUUUGAACAAAUCUACUUUUAGAACAAAUAGACCUCCAUACACAUUAUAAGGGAA